This is a non-coding RNA of Cricetulus griseus (Chinese hamster), 4334 nucleotides long. Lineage: Eukaryota; Metazoa; Chordata; Mammalia; Rodentia; Cricetidae. The record is from RefSeq and is a predicted model, not a curated record.
UCGCCUUGAUCUCACCCUGAGCACAGCCGCGGACGCCUUGAUCUCACCCUGAGCACAGCCGCGGACGCCUUGAUCUCACCCUGAGCACAGCCGCGGAGCAGGCUGACUGGAGCCCACGAUACUAAGUCCCAAUGCAAUAUAUAAUCUUUUGUCAUCCUCAGAAGUUGGAAAGCUGAAGCAAUGUCUGUCCCAGGAAUGAAGAUUGUGUGGCAGAUUCCUAAGGCCUUCUGGUCUCUCAGUAUGCUUACUUAUUUAAAAGGACAAUUCUCUGCUUUUGAAUAUGUCUUGUAGGUUUUUCUGUGCCUGUGAAGGAACAAAAGUUGCUAUCUUUAGUUCAAAUCUGGAAGUCAUAUGGAUUCCUAGUGCAAACGAAGUAUGGAACAUACUUGGAAAAGUUGAAAUAACAGAAGAUAAGGCCGGCUAGGUGCCAGAAAAAUCAGGCCAAGAGGACACAAAACUGAGUUUCUGUCUUGUCUACUUGCAAAUAAACUUGACUUGAGUCAUCAUUAUUAUUGCAACAGGGUCUUAUAAUGUAGCUCAGGCUGAUUCCAACUGGAGAGCUGCCCAACUGAAAUGCCUGACCUGGGAUUCCAGAACACAUAGCCACAUCUCUCAGCCAAAUACACUGACUCUGAACAGCUUGCCAAAUCCUAUCACUUCCAUGGUAACAGCUGCAGUUUUCAGUGGAGAGGAAGGACCCAGUCCUAAAGCAUUUCCAGAAUUCAUCCUGCCAAGAGCUGCCUUAUGUCCACGCUUUAUAUAGGAUUGGUUCCUGUUGUCAAAGACAAACAACCUAAAUUCUUUUUGUUUGUUCAUUUUGGUUUUUGUGAUAGAGUUUUACUAUGUAGCCCUGACUAAUCUUAUAAACCAGGCUGAUCUCGAAAGCUCUGCCUUCCUGUCUUCUGAGUGCUGGGAUAAAAGGCAGGAGCUCAGCCCCAAUCUAAAUGUUUAACAAUCCACUGGUGUAAUCUUUUCCAUUCGAAGCCUAGGGCACAAGAGCACACUGGAGCCUGCCUAAAAGUGUGUUGCCUCAGUGGCAACUAUUAUCUGCUCUAAAUAAACUCCUUUACUACUUAAAGAAUUUGUGCCUCUUUCUCUCACAAAGAUCUACUCAUACAAAGAAUCAUGACCACAUUCAGCACAUUAGAAGAUGCAAGAUGAUGCUCAGAUGUUUAUCAACUGAGUUAUUAUACUUCUGGCAUUAUGUGACACACACACUUCUAUUAACAUCUAGUGGCCCUGAGAAGUUCCACAGCAGGACACCAAUAGCUACGGCUGGCACAACCAGGGGGAGAGAGACUCUGUCUUCAGCCAAGUGAAUUAAAUUAAAUUAAAUCAUAAUUUAAUCCUUACUGUUGCCACCACAUGCUUCUGGAAAAUGGAUAAUCAGUCCUACAUCCAUCUGGUUCCAGUUUCCUGAAAUGGCGUGGACCACACGGUGACCAUUGCAUUGCUGCUCGACAAAGUUCCAGCAUUUCCACAUUGCAGAGCACGCUUCUCCAGCACCUUUUAAGCCUUCAUUUUCAUUGAUGCUCAAUAUUAAUGCCUUUCAAUUUGGUCAGUUUUGUGUGGGUUCAGUCAGGUGUCUGCCUCCCUGAGAUCUGAAGACACAGUGGAAGCUUGCACCCUGGGAGAAUGAAGUGUUUGUUCCUUGAUGACAUGAGGAAGCUCUGCCCCACGACUCCUGAAGUCUUCUAGACUCGAGCCUAGACAUAUAUUCAUUUGUCAUAUUUUUUAAAGCCGGAUCUCAUUGAAGGCAGCCAAGGCAGGAAGUGAAGCAGGGGCUGUGGAAGACCACUGCUUACUCUUGGUGCCCAGGACUUGCUCGGCCUGCCUGCUUUUCAUUCUUUUCACUUCUUUGAGACAGGGUCUCACUGUGUAGACCCAGCUGUCCUGGAACCCACAACCUCACAGCUCACAGACUCACCUUCCUCUGCCUUCAGAGUGCUAGCAUGAAAGGUAAGUUGGCACCAAGUCCAUCUGAGGCAUUCCCUUGAUUGAGGUCCCUCCUCUUAGAUAACUCUAGCUUGUGCCAAGUUGACAAAAAAAAAAAACCAACUAACCAGGACAGGCCAAUAGGAUGACCAUGCUCUUGUAAUUGGUGGCCACAACAAAACAUAGCCAGUUGUCUAUCGAUAUUGAAUUGAUAUUCUUGUUGGGAGCCCUGUGGCCUAGUUUCGGACCAGUAUAUGAGUGCUUGUUCCAGAUGCGACAAAGCCCACAGGGACAGUCUCACUCGGCAAGAACCAGUGGACAUCCAGACAGUGCAGAGUACUGCUGGGACCGAAAGGCCUGCACCAUCUCUUCUCUCUCAUAAUAAUGAUGAUUCUCUUGGUGUUUUUUUGUGUCACUUUGUCAGUCACACAUGGGACAGAUGUGAUCAUUCCUGGAGAUCCCAUUUUUUUUUUCUCUAAUAUUUUCCCCUAAAAUAGUUUGGGAGCUGAUGCUUCCUGGGUUUCUUGUCUGGGGAUGGCAGCUGUCUCUCCAGACCCCAGCAGCUGUCCUGAUUCAGUGCUGACAGGAUGAGAGGCAAAUCACCCCUAUUUCUGUAAAUAUGCUUUAAAUUUUGAACAAUAUUGUUGUUCUUGAGAUUGUGAGCUUAUGUUUGUCACCUUUCAGUUUUGUAAAGACGGGAUGUAUCUGGAUUGAUAUUUGGCCAAGCUAGCAAAAUGUCAAGUGUUGGUUUUGGUUUAGAGAUGUUUUUAGGGUUGGAAAGAUGGCUCGGUGGUUAAGAGCAUUGAGGGCUCUUACAGAGGUCUUGAGUUCAACUCCCAGAAACAACCUGGAGACUCACAACCAUCCAAAAUGAAAACUGGCGCCCUCCUUUGGCCUGCAGGGAUACUUGCAGACAAAAUACAAUAUAUAAUAAACAAGCAUGUUUUGAUGUAAAAGUUGGGAAAAAACAUAUUUGACAUUUUUGCUGAAGGUUCACACUGGAGGGUGAGAAAAACAUGUUUGUUAGUAUGGGAAAACAUGCUUGUUUUUGAAGUAUAAAUAAAGAUGGCAGGGGCGAUUUGGGCCCAUCACUUGUGUGAAACUCACUGAUGGUCAGACAAUUCAUUUCUUUGCUUGGAGACCCCUUCCCCUUCUCAAGACCCAAACAGGGCUGUGGCAGGACUCUGGCACAUUCACAUACUGGGAAAAUGCUCAUCAAAGCAGCAGCCCAACAGCCACUCACCCCUGAAACAAAUCAUGUAUAUAAGAAAGGUGUUGCCUUGAAAACACAAACCCUCUGACAAAAAGCUAUGGCGCUCAUUUAUGUGGAUUCUAAGAGUAAGAAAAGUUCAUCCCAGGCAGAGAAAUCAAAAUGGUUAUUGUAUAACCCGGCUUGGGGUUGGGAUGACAAGAAAGGACUUCUGGCCUGUUGAAAAUAAAUAAUCUGAACUAGGAGAUGAUGGUUCGUUUCGUCAGAAUUCAUCAGGCUACACUCUGGUUACCCGUGCUCUUCAAUCGGUAUGAAUUAAUACUCAAAUCACUCACUGUGAAGGGAAAUGUCUUGGUUUUUAUUUUUAGUAUAUUGUUAAGAUUAUUUAAAAUACCUCAUGGAGUAAGAACUCAGAUCUCAUUUCAAACUUGGCCUAGAAGUCGAUAUGGCUCGAGAUAUCUGAGAUAACAAAACAGAAACAAAACCAAAAAACGAAUCUGGCCACACCAUGGCAUUAGAGCACUUGGCAGCGAGAUUGAUUACACCAAUACCAAGUUCUCCUGUUUGAGUGUGCACCAGACAGUUUCCAUACUUUCUUCUGCUUCAGUAGUCCUGAGUGAUGCUCGCGCUGUAGUCGCUGGUAAUUGAAGCAGUGACUUGGGGAUUGGAAAGUGAAAGAAAACCACAGUUGCUCCGUAGAAAGCCCAUUCCCAGGUCUCGGAUUCGAACAGCAGUCACAGAGUCACAGGCAAAUUGCUAAGAGCUACGAAGUAACUUGAGGAUCCCGGCAUAUUCGUGUGUGAGUGUUCCCACUCGCUCCUCCUCCCUGAGCGCCAGUACCGCACCCGGACCCCUCAGCUUUUCCAGCGAUCGCAGACCAGGCAGAGAGCGGCUCCAAGGCUCCAGUCCACAGCCCCACCCCAGCCCCAAACCAGGCCUUCACGCGUGAGUACCCUGGAUCUGCGAAGGCCUAGACCCGAAAACUCCCGCGGUUUCCUUCGCCGAGUCCUGUUGGGGGUCCCGGUCGCGCCGCUGUCGUCGUGGAGCCCCUGGCAGCUCGGUGAGUCCCCUGUGGUGUCUCAACGCUUAGGAGGAAGCGAGGGGCGCAUCACGUCUGCGAGACUAGUUAUCAUUGGAUCCUUAGUUACAGUUUCUUCCUAAAUAGAGUUAUUCCUGGCUGACAUCCGGA